AUGUGGUUUAAUUCGAUGAUACGCGAGGAACCUUACCUGGGCUCGAACGUAAGAUGACUGUAGGUGAAAGCUUACAUCUCUUCGGAGCAUUUUACGAGGUGCUGCAUGGUUGUCGUCAGCUCGUGCCGUGAGGUGUCGGGUUAAGUCCCAUAACGAGCGCAACCCUACCUUUAGUUGCCAUCAGGUAAUGCUGGGGACUCUAAAGGAACUGCCUACGCAAGUAGUGAGGAAGCGGGGAUGACGUCAAAUCAGCACGGCCCUUACGUCCAGGGCUACACACGUGCUACAAUGGCCGAUACAGAGGGCAGCUACCUGGUGACAGGAUGCAAAUCUCCAAAGUCGGUCUCAGUUCGGAUCGGAGUCUGCAACCCGACUCCGUGAAGUUGGAUUCGCUAGUAAUCGCGCAUCAGCCAUGGCGCGGUGAAUACGUUCCCGGGCCUU
This 441-nucleotide ribosomal RNA is filed under the name uncultured Sphingobacteriales bacterium. RNAcentral describes it as "bacterial SSU rRNA". It matches the Rfam family "Bacterial small subunit ribosomal RNA", at positions 939 to 1382 of the family's 1533-position model. Lineage: Bacteria; Pseudomonadati; Bacteroidota; Sphingobacteriia; Sphingobacteriales. The record is from RNAcentral.